Molecule: ribosomal RNA, 440 nt
Filed under: uncultured bacterium
Lineage: Bacteria
Description: partial 16S ribosomal RNA
Rfam family: Bacterial small subunit ribosomal RNA
Source: RNAcentral
CCUACGGGUGACAGCAGUAGGGAAUAUUGCUCAAUGGGGGAAACCCUGAAGCAGCAACGCCGCGUGGAGGAUGAAGGUUUUCGGAUUGUAAACUCCUUUUGUUAGAGAAGAUAAUGACGGUAUCUAACGAAUAAGCACCGGCUAACUCCGUGCCAGCAGCCGCGGUAAGACGGAGGGUGCAAGCGUUACUCGGAGUCACUGGGCGUAAGGCGCGAGUAGGCGGGAUGGCAAGUCAGAUGUGAAAUCCUAUGGCUUAACCAUAGAACUGCAUUUGAAACUGUUAUUCUAGAGUAUUGGAGAGGUAGGUGGAAUUCUUGGUGUAGGGGUAAAAUCCGUAGAGAUCAAGAGGAAUACUCAUUGCGAAGGCGACCUGCUAGAACAUAACUGACGCUGAUGCGCGAAAGCGUGGGGAGCAAACAGGAUUAGAUACCCGUGUAGUC